AUGGCGUCCGCUGAUCUUCUGAGGACGUUUACUAGCUGUUCUGGCAGCAAAAUGGCGUCAGCUGGAGAGCUACAGCUGUCUACCACCCGCGCGCCCUCUGCCGCCAGUGAUGAACACUGCCAACGUACACAACAUGUCGUUUCCUGCAUUAACCCGAUCGCCUCUCCUCGUCUCGUGGUGACUGCGAUUAUUCGAUGUUUUCUGCUUCACUUUUGCACCACCAUCAUGCUGCACGCAGCGUCAUCGAAGCCUAAGCCUCGGAAGAACCCGAUCAUGACCAUAGCACAGGUGGAAGUGAUUAAGAAAGUGGACAGUGGAAGAAAGAAGAUUGGCCGUUUCCCCAGGUACCCAUUUAUCGACCAGCCCAAGUGGGAGGAUGAACAGCUGGGUGAGCUGCACACCGACUGCCCGGGCCGGGAUUUGAACCCGGGCCAGCGGAGUAGAAACCAGGCACGCUGACCACUAAACCACGGGCAAAAAUGUCAGUUAAAGUAGGGUAAUUAUUGGACAAUCUAUCAACCAACUCUCUCUGUAAGGCCACAGGUAGUUUAUUAAAAACAAUGUGACUGAUUAAUGAGUGUCCAGCAGUUUCUUCUGUUAAUAGGUCAACAUCAUGAGCCUUUAACUCAUGUAGGUAAGACCUCAUUUCAUUCAAAUAUAUUUUGACAAAUAUAAUUAGAGUAAAAUUCCCAAGUAGGUGCUGCUUUUAAGGAUUCUUACACUUCUUGUUUUUAGUAUUUCAGUUUCUAAGCCUCGAGGAUGACUUUUCCUGAAAUGAAAUAAAAAGUUCAUUUGUGCCCUUUUGAUAGCAAGAAUUAUCACAGGUGUAUUUUUUCUCUCUAAGUUUACAAUGACUUUUCAUUUCAUAAUAUACAUACCUAAUAUCAAAUGUAACAUGACAUCAAGUAUUUCCUUCUACAUUAGCAAGAAAGAACUUGAAACCUCUUGAAGGUGACCAUUCAUAGUUUACUCUAUUGCACUGAUAUCAGUCUUAAAAUAAUGAUUUACAAUGUUCAAGUGAUGUAUAAUUUACUAAAAUAAUUCACUAAAGUCUCCCAUUUUGACUUUGGUCAUUUCUAAAAAUUUCAAAUAACAAAAAUAAAACAUAUGUACCAAUAUUAACAGAUACUUAAGCACAUCAUAAGACGUAUAUAAAACAGAACAAUACAAACUGAUUAAAGACAA
This is a long non-coding RNA of Eriocheir sinensis (Chinese mitten crab), 1185 nucleotides long. RefSeq lists it as uncharacterized. The transcript has 2 exons. Lineage: Eukaryota; Metazoa; Arthropoda; Malacostraca; Decapoda; Varunidae. The record is from RefSeq and is a predicted model, not a curated record.